GCUGUCCUUAAGUGUGGCUGUCAUGAGACGCACAAGUUUGCAGGGAAGACUGAGUGCCUAGAUUGCGGGAAGAAAGAUAAAAUUCCUCAGCCUUGUUUACGUCCUAAAUUGGUAGUCUGACUUGGUGAGCUAUAGAUUAUAAGGAGGUUGCUUUGCAGACUGUGAGGAGUCACCGAGCAGCUAUUCAAUGGCAGAGGGCAAGUAGAGCUGCAGCUGUCUGGCGCCACUGUAAUGCUGUCUCCUCCUCUGAGUGAGUUCAUCCUGGAAACAUUUUCUCCCAUAAGACAUGCACAGGUCUUACGUUUACAUGUUUCACUGAAAGAAAUUUGAUUCCACUGCUGGGAUGACAAGGAAGACUGAAGAAACCUAAUCCUAGGUGCUGCCACUGGGACAAACAAGAAGCACCAGACACAGUGCUGUUUUAGGGUGGGGCAGAAUUAUGCUGAGGGAAAAGUUAUUAUCACUCUUUAAGGCCAAGGAAACCACAAUUUUUAAAGAAGCUUCUAGAAAUUCUACCCAGUAGAAAAUAAAGAUAAACUUCUGUAAGGAAUUUCAUUCUUUUCAGAAUUCGCAAUCUGAAAUGUAGAAGCCCAUUCCUUCAUGGUUCUCAUAGAUAUUUAGUGUGACUGAGGGGUCAGUGGACUCAUAGCACUCAGGCCAGGCUUCUCCUGAGUCCCUUUCUUUGGCACAGAGGGAGUGAUUCACAGAUCCUCUACCCCCAAAGGCAUUGUUUCCUCAUCUCAACAAGAAUCCAGCACCCGUCAUUUUAUCAGCACACGUCACUAGCUUCUCAAGUGAGACUACUCUGAAGUGAUCUGUGUUUGAAGAAUGCCUUUCCCUUUCCCUUACGUAACUAAGAGGAUGAAAAAGGACACUCACUCCCUAUAUGAAAGCUGUGUAUUGUAAGCAGUCAUCUUGCCUGGCUGAGAACUCUAGGAUCUUUUUCUCUGCUCUCCUUUAGGCUGACACUCAUAGCCAGACCUUCUGUUUAUUAGCCCCCUGAAUCUAUUUGAAAAUAUUUUUGCUUUCAUUAUAAUAUAAGUCACAUUCUUCUUGCAUCUGCCGCUGCAUUUUCCAAAAGGGUUAUGUCAAGGGAAAUUCAACACUCACUUUUCUCAUUAUUUGCUUACCAGCUUGCUCACUCAUCAAAAUACCAGAGUUAUUUGAUACUUCAGAAGAUUAUUUCCCCCUUUAGAUGAUGUGUCAAGGGAAGGGGAGCUGGCCCCAGUAUCAGGUGACAGAAUUUUCUUCGCAUUUCUACUGUUGACUCAAUAAAUGCCCUUGGGCAAGUCA
Long non-coding RNA from Homo sapiens (human), 1293 nucleotides. Ensembl annotates it as long intergenic non-protein coding RNA 2532. NCBI's taxonomy places the organism in Eukaryota, Metazoa, Chordata, Mammalia, Primates, Hominidae. The record is from Ensembl.